Molecule: non-coding RNA, 30 nt
Filed under: Homo sapiens (human)
Lineage: Eukaryota; Metazoa; Chordata; Mammalia; Primates; Hominidae
Source: RNAcentral
ACCAGGUUGAAGGAUGACGGGUGCCCAGAU